UACGGGGGGGGCAAGCGUUGUUCGGAAUUACUGGGCGUAAAGGGCUCGUAGGCGGCCAACUAAGUCAGAUGUGAAAUCCCCAGGCUCAACCUGGGAACUGCAUCUGAUACUGGAUGGCUUGAAUUCGGGAGAGGGAUGCAGAAUUCCAGGUGUAGCGGUGAAAUGCGUAGAUAUCUGGAGGAAUACCGGUGGCGAAGGCGGCAUCCUGGACCGACAUUGACGCUGAGGAGCGAAAGCGUGGGGAGCAAACAGG
RNAcentral lists this ribosomal RNA (253 nucleotides) under uncultured bacterium. RNAcentral describes it as "partial 16S ribosomal RNA". It matches the Rfam family "Bacterial small subunit ribosomal RNA", at positions 524 to 776 of the family's 1533-position model. The record is from RNAcentral.